Alexandromys fortis (reed vole) is the source of this 111-nucleotide small nuclear RNA. NCBI's taxonomy places the organism in Eukaryota, Metazoa, Chordata, Mammalia, Rodentia, Cricetidae. The record is from RefSeq and is a predicted model, not a curated record.
GUGCUCGCUUCGGCAGCACAUAUACUAAAAUUGGAACGAUACCAGAGAAGAUUAGCAUGGCCCCUGCGCAAGAAAAAAAAAAAAAGAAUGUAGACUAUAGAGUAGGUAUUU